CCCCAUCUCCUUAUGGUCCCUGGACUGCAUGAUGUUGGCCCCAGAGUGGAAGCUCCUCUGAGCUCCUUAUACAAACCACGCACAGGCAAUGCACCCUUUGCUGAGCAAGACAUCAACAUUUUGCCUUCUGCCUCCCGCAGCGUACCUCAUUUUUUUGAACCAAGCCAGGCUCUUCCCGGGAUUGUAGUGAAUGCGAGUUUGCUUCAUCUAGUUGCAUCCACGGGUCUGUGUGAUAUUUCAGGGCUGGUACCAUGUCCCUGCGCACUGUUGUAUCCCCAGCCCCCAGCCCAGUAUUUGGCCCCCACUAGGCAUUUGGUAAAUAUGUAGCAAGUAAAAAUGAGUGGGACGGGGCUACCGAGGAAGGGGACUGAGAAAGUUGCUUUCUGUGGCUGUCUGGGGCCUCUUGCUCUUGGAGGUCAGUUCUGUGGCAGAGGGACUAAUUCAGGACGAGGCUGAAGCUGAUGUGUGUCCGUCUCAGGCCCCAGAAACGACACAGUGCUAACACAUUCUUGGCUCCUCCGAGGGCCGUGUGAACAGUAACACUCGGGGGUCCUUCUUUAGGGUCUAACACAUCGGCCUGUCCUGAGGGGUACAAAGGGCAACAAAGAAACAGGGCAGGGGCUCCCAGGACAGGCUUCCCAUCAGACUCCCUGGGACUUUACUCCCCGUAAAGUAUUUAACCACCAGAGCCACCUGGGCCUCACACCUCCUUCCCAAGACCUGAUUCAAAUGUCUGAUGUGGGACGUGGUGAUUGAUUUAUUAAAAGUCCUAGGUGAUUCCAAUAUACCUCCCUGACACAGAGAAAAGAACUGUGUUUCUUUUUUUGUUUUUAAACUAAUCUGUCUGUAAUGCCUGUGAGGUUUCCACAUCGGGCCCCCUGAGGAGCAGGCUGUCGGUAGGCCGGUGGUUCAGGGUGAGGGCCUGGCCAGAUGGGAGAGAGGAAGGGACGUGGGCUUUGCAGGCAUUGGAGAACUUGGGUUUGAACCCUGUCCUCCAGCAUCCCAGCUCUGUGGCCUUGGGCAAGUCACUUCAGCUGUGUGCAUGUCGGUGUCCUCUGUUAACUGACAGAAUUCCUACUGCACAGGUUGGCUGGGAUCAAUCGCCUAACACAGGGUCCAGCUUAGAGCCGGUGCUCCAUAAAGUGUGGUUCCGUUACCUUCCUGACCAAGCUACGGGGUGGGAGGGGAGGUCACGUGGGGCCCCCAGCCUGGCUCAGUACCUGACGGGAAGAACCCCGGCCUGGGAGAAAUUUCUAGUGCUGACCCAUCAUGAUAUGUGACCUUGGCCAAGUCCGCCUCGGUGACCCCAUUCAGCUCUGACCCGGGA
RNAcentral lists this long non-coding RNA (1327 nucleotides) under Felis catus (domestic cat). RNAcentral's name for it is "lncRNA (ENSFCAG00000041960.2)". The record is from RNAcentral. Lineage: Eukaryota; Metazoa; Chordata; Mammalia; Carnivora; Felidae.